Molecule: ribosomal RNA, 583 nt
Filed under: Pseudomonas sp. StFRB099
Lineage: Bacteria; Pseudomonadati; Pseudomonadota; Gammaproteobacteria; Pseudomonadales; Pseudomonadaceae
Also listed under: 1 other name
Description: bacterial SSU rRNA
Rfam family: Bacterial small subunit ribosomal RNA
Source: RNAcentral
ACGGGUGAGUAAUGCCUAGGAAUCUGCCUGGUAGUGGGGGAUAACGUUCGGAAACGAACGCUAAUACCGCAUACGUCCUACGGGAGAAAGCAGGGGACCUUCGGGCCUUGCGCUAUCAGAUGAGCCUAGGUCGGAUUAGCUAGUUGGUGAGGUAAUGGCUCACCAAGGCGACGAUCCGUAACUGGUCUGAGAGGAUGAUCAGUCACACUGGAACUGAGACACGGUCCAGACUCCUACGGGAGGCAGCAGUGGGGAAUAUUGGACAAUGGGCGAAAGCCUGAUCCAGCCAUGCCGCGUGUGUGAAGAAGGUCUUCGGAUUGUAAAGCACUUUAAGUUGGGAGGAAGGGCAGUUACCUAAUACGUAAUUGUUUUGACGUUACCGACAGAAUAAGCACCGGCUAACUCUGUGCCAGCAGCCGCGGUAAUACAGAGGGUGCAAGCGUUAAUCGGAAUUACUGGGCGUAAAGCGCGCGUAGGUGGUUCGUUAAGUUGGAUGUGAAAUCCCCGGGCUCAACCUGGGAACUGCAUUCAAAACUGUCGAGCUAGAGUAUGGUAGAGGGUGGUGGAAUUUCCUGUGUAGCGG